UGAAGAAAGCAAGGCG
Molecule: ribosomal RNA, 16 nt
Filed under: Candidatus Phytoplasma balanitae
Lineage: Bacteria; Bacillati; Mycoplasmatota; Mollicutes; Acholeplasmatales; Acholeplasmataceae
Description: partial 23S ribosomal RNA
Source: RNAcentral